RNAcentral lists this ribosomal RNA (113 nucleotides) under uncultured archaeon. Its description in RNAcentral is "partial 16S ribosomal RNA". It matches the Rfam family "Archaeal small subunit ribosomal RNA", at positions 363 to 475 of the family's 1478-position model. The record is from RNAcentral.
AAGCGUGACGUGGGAAUCUCCAAGUGCCUUGCCUUCGGGUAGGGUUUUUGUUCAGUGUAAGUAGCUAAACAAAUAAGUGCUGGGUAAAACCGGUGCCAGCACCCGCGGUAAAA